UGAGGAAUAUUGGUCAAUGGACGCAAGUCUGAACCAGCCAAGUAGCGUGCAGGAUGACGGCCCUAUGGGUUGUAAACUGCUUUUAUAUGGGGAUAAAGUGGGGAACGUUUUCCCUUUUGCAGGUACCAUAUGAAUAAGGACCGGCUAAUUCCGUGCCAGCAGCCGCGGUAAUACGGAAGGUUCGGGCGUUAUCCGGAUUUAUUGGGUUUAAAGGGAGCGUAGGCCGUUUGGUAAGCGUGUUGUGAAAUGUAGGAGCUCAACUUCUAGAUUGCAGCGCGAACUGUCAGACUUGAGUGCGCACAACGUAGGCGGAAUUCAUGGUGUAGCGGUGAAAUGCUUAGAUAUCAUGAAGAACUCCGAUUGCGAAGGCAGCUUACGGGAGCGCAACUGACGCUGAAGCUCGAAGGUGCGGGUAUCGAACAGG
This 424-nucleotide ribosomal RNA is filed under the name Verrucomicrobiota bacterium. Its description in RNAcentral is "Verrucomicrobia bacterium partial 16S ribosomal RNA". It matches the Rfam family "Bacterial small subunit ribosomal RNA", at positions 355 to 776 of the family's 1533-position model. Lineage: Bacteria; Pseudomonadati; Verrucomicrobiota. The record is from RNAcentral.